RNAcentral lists this ribosomal RNA (254 nucleotides) under uncultured bacterium. RNAcentral describes it as "partial 16S ribosomal RNA". It matches the Rfam family "Bacterial small subunit ribosomal RNA", at positions 524 to 776 of the family's 1533-position model. The record is from RNAcentral.
UACGUAGGCAGCGAGCGUUGUUCGGAGUUACUGGGCGUAAAGGGUGUGUAGGCGGUUGUUUAAGUUUGGUGUGAAAUCUCCCGGCUCAACUGGGAGGGUGCGCCGAAUACUGAAUGACUUGGAGUGCGGGAGAGGAGAGUGGAAUUCCUGGUGUAGCGGUGAAAUGCGUAGAUAUCGGGAGGAACACCUGUGGCGAAAGCGGCGCACUGGACCACAUCUGACGCUGAGGCGCGAAAGCUAGGGGAGCAAACAGG